Molecule: ribosomal RNA, 253 nt
Filed under: uncultured bacterium
Lineage: Bacteria
Description: partial 16S ribosomal RNA
Rfam family: Bacterial small subunit ribosomal RNA
Source: RNAcentral
UACAGAGGGGGCAAGCGUUAUUCGGAAUUAUUGGGCGUAAAGGGCGCGUAGGCGGCCGGACAAGUGGAAGGUGAAAUCCCCGAGCUCAACUCGGGAACUGCCCUCCAAACUGUUUGGCUUGAGUCCGGGAGAGGUGAGUGGAAUUCCCAGUGUAGCGGUGAAAUGCGUAGAUAUUGGGAGGAACACCAGUGGCGAAGGCGGCUCACUGGACCGGAACUGACGCUGAGGCGCGAAAGCGUGGGGAGCAAACAGG